Molecule: transfer RNA, 63 nt
Filed under: Mileewa margheritae
Lineage: Eukaryota; Metazoa; Arthropoda; Insecta; Hemiptera; Cicadellidae
Also listed under: 1 other name
Description: tRNA-Ala
Source: RNAcentral
AGGAUUAUAUUUAAUUAUAAUAUUUGAUUUGCAAUCAAAAAGUACACUAAAAUGUUGAUCUUA